Molecule: long non-coding RNA, 17560 nt
Organism: Mus musculus (house mouse)
Lineage: Eukaryota; Metazoa; Chordata; Mammalia; Rodentia; Muridae
Product: predicted gene, 34871
Exons: 4
Source: RefSeq, a predicted model, not a curated record
CUCCUUUCUUUCUUUCUUUCUUUCUUUCUUUCUUUCUUUCUUUCUUUCUUUCUUUCUUUCAAGUGAUCCUGUACUUCAGAUCAAAUCCCUUCCCCACCAUCGCUUUGGAAACAGCAGUGAUGAUGUGCUGUUUCUGAUUACAUAAUGGUUUGAGGCAAGGGAUUUUCUUGUUGAGGUACCCACACCAGUACUGAUUGGACACUGUUUUGCUUUGCUCUGUUAAUACAAGAUUUUUCUGAAUGUCAUCAUAGCACAGACAGAACACAUUCACUGAGGCAUUUUCAAGGCAAGGUUCUGCUUUAACUUGAAACAGAAAAAAAUUCCCCUGUGACUUAUAUUCAGUGAGAACCACGGGCACUGUUGGUGGGUUUUUACUAAUUAUGUGGUUUCUAUAUGUAAAUACUUGUCUUUUAUAUGUGUGAAUAUGUAAAGGGCAUAGACUUUCUAGUACUAGUCUAAGGAUGUACAAAAACACACACCACAUACACACACACACACACACACACACACACACACACACACACACACCUUAUGAUCUCUGCUCUCUCCUUAAUAACUAGUUUCCCCUUAAAUAAUGCCUCUAAUGUUCCUUUAACUAUGAACUGAUAACGUCAGCAGCCUGAGAAGAUGUCACAUUGGCAAAGCGCUCUCAGAAAAAGCAAGAGGGCCUGAGUUUUGAUCCCUAACAUCCAUGUCAAAGGCUGAGUGUGGGCCGAGCUGUUGUGGUGCACAUCUUUAAUCCCAGCACCUGGAAGGCAGAGGCAGGAGGGUCUGUGAGUUGGAGGCUAGGCUGGUCUAGAGAGCAAGUUCCAGGACAGCCAGGGCUACUCAGAGAAACCCUGUCUCAAAAAAUAAGACAAACAAAGAUCCAGUCACCCCAGGAACUUCCUAGCCAGUCAGCAUCACUGAAUUGGUGAAUUCAAGGUUCAGUGAGAGACAGAUCUUGAGAAAUAAGGUGGCCAGUGAUUGAGUAAAGUGUCUGGUGUCAGUCUCUGACUUCCACACACAAAUACAUUUAAUAAAAUCUGUACUCCAAACUAACUAGAGUCAUGGUAAAUCUUCACUUUUAAGAACGGCAUUGACUCUAGUCACAGAAAUUUCUUUAGGAAACCAACCAGGUCACUGAAAAACAAAUCAUAUCUCCUUUAUUAGUGAAAAAAAAAUCGAGUCAUUCUGUUGAAAAAAACAUGAAGAAAUGCCAUUCAACAGGAAUUUCCCUUAUAGCAUGGUGCUAUACAGAUCUAUGUGCAAGCCCACACCAAGGCUAUUCUUGCCUUGCUUGGGAACCGCAGAGUUAACUCUGCCAAGAGGCAUUACAGUGAUAUGAAAUGCUGUGGUCAUGACAAACUUCCAGAACCCUCUCCAAACCUGUGUAGGAGAAAACAUUUAUGAUAAAGCAGUCAGUGAUAACAGCAAUUAUAGAUUAAGUUCAAGACUAUUCCUCCAGGAAAGAAAAGUACGACAUACACACACACACACACACACACACACACACACACACACACACACAUGUAUGCAUAUGUCUAUCUAUCUAUCUAUCUAUCUAUCUAUCUAUCUUUCACUCCAUGUACUGUUUUAAGUCUCUGGAUAAAAACAAUAGAUAACAGUUUUGAUUACUUACCUGUCCCUUUUCUGUCCUUAAUCAUAGUGGCUUUGAUCCCACUUGAACCUCAUAAUUACUCCUUGGUUAGAAAUUAUCUUGUAUCUAGUUAUUAUUUAGGCACAUAUGCAUUGAGAAUGUACAGUAAGAGUCGGGGCCUAGAACGAGUGAGUUUUAAAUUCCUUCUGUCCGCCAGUCCCAGCGACAGAGUCAAGGACACACUGAGGCAGAAGUCUGUUUUCCUCUUAGGCCCUCUGUUGAUGCAGCCUAUGCCAUCAGGGUCUUUCUGUGUGUUUGUGUGUAUGCAUCACAUGUCUGAGGGGUUUGUUCAAUAUUUUUUCUGCUUUUCUAUCAGCUUUAUAGUUUGGUGGGCAAAGAGGCCUACUUUGAAGUUCUUUCUGUUGUUAAAUCUCUUUCCCAGUGAAAUUCAAUGUAGGUUCUCAUUUUCCAGGACACCAUCUCCCAAAAGUUUUAGAGCAUGCUAAAUUGUAAAUCCUUGAUGAGGAAAUCUGUGUCUAAGGGCCAUCUCUCCAGGUGAUGUAAAGGUGAAGCCAUGUGAGCGAUCUCGUACCCUGCUCCUUUUCUGGCUUUUUUCUUUUUUCUUUUUCUUUUGUGACUUAGAGCCUUAUAGCUUCUGUAGCUUUGCUCCUGAGUCUGACUUCGGGCUCCCUGACACUGUACCUCUAUGUUGCUGGGAGAGUCAACUUAAAAUAUACAAUCUCCAGACGGGAAUGAUUUAGCAAAAUUAAAAGCAGACAAGGGGCAGGGAAGGCGGGAGGUGUCAAAUGUUUUCUCUACCCACUAUCAGUUUGAUGUGGUAGCCUUGUUCCUACCUAGUCUUCCGUCAUGCCGUCCUCUACCAACACUAAAAUAGCCGACAUGGUAACAGAAUACACACAAGGAGAGAUGUGUAGGCUCUUCGGUCUCCAUUCUAACCCACCACAGAGAGUUUUAAUUGAGCUUGUUUCAACUUAAUUUUGUUUCGCCCUUGGGAUGAAAGACACUAGUUUCAGUGUGACUCAAGAGGUACUUUAUAUGCCCCAGUACAGGGGAAUGCUAAGGCCAAGAAUUAGGAGUGGGUGGGUAGGGGAGCAGGGACGAGGGAGGGUAUAGGGAACUUUCGGGAUAGCAUUUGAAAUGUAAAUAAAGAAAAUAUCUAAUAAAAAAAAAGAGGUACCAUGAAAUAUGUAAGAACUUGCAAGAAUCUUCUUAGCUUCCUCCAAAGAAAGUCAGUAUUUCCAAUCGCUUAAUUGUUUUUGAGUGAACUCUUUCCAAACAAAACCAUGCCAUAUUGGUGAGCUGAUACUAAGGUUUCCAGCCCUGUAGUUCACAGACUGAUUUAUUUUUCAUGAGCACAUGUAAUUAAAAUCUCAUUUCUGGUUAGGAACAAGCCUAGUAAGAGAAUUGCAAAGAAGUUACAGAUAGGGAAGCAAUGUCACACAGCAGACCUCUCUUUGAGUCUGCCUCGGGGGAUAUAUGAAGCAGAGCAAUUCAGUUUAAGUACAAAAAGAGAGUUUCACACUCACCCCAGAUCUUGAGUCAGCAUCAUUCAGUACAGCUCACCCUGUCUUACAGAUCACCUUAUCAUCGUCAGUGCUGAUUCACAGUGGGAUGGGGAGAAUGGAUGCAGAAACAGUUUGUGAGGAGACCAUGAAGACAUCCAUUUUCUUCUCCAUUUCUCUACUACUCUCAGAUCUUAUGUUCAUCUCAAAAGCCAUCAUAGGCAAGAGGUGAUACUAAUUAGGUUAUGGUAAGUGACACACCUCCUGAUUACAGCUAUAGCCUGGACCCAGAACUGUUUUAGACUAUAACUCACUUUUAGUAUCUGUGCAAUUUCUGAGCACUAGUGCAGAUAAAAUCCCUUGUAUUCUUGUUAGCACCUUGGAUGCCUUUCUGAAGGAUACAACCUAUGGGUCUUAGUGGCACAGGAAAGAUAAGAUGUCCUUUGUCGUUCAUUUUCUGCAAAUAGUCUGUAUUUACAGUACCAUGCCAGUCGUUUCUGACUACCACUUAGGGCAAUUUGCUUAGCCUAGCGGAAUGUCUUGGAAACUACUGGCAAUGAUUUAGCCUCCAAAAUUGGAACACAUUUAGUAGAGACAGAAAGCCUAUGAACAAAUAGUGGGCAUGUGCCAGAGUAAAUAAGUGUGGUUCAUGAGCUGCGGUCAGAAAUGUCUCUCAGUAUGCAGGCAAAGCCUUUGCCAAUAUUUGCCAUGAAGCCAUCACACAAAGCAGUUUUUCCUCUCAGUAAGACAGACUCAAUGAAAGAAGGAACCCGGCCUCACAAUCUCCUCGUGGGGCUGUCAUCACAGGUCAUACGAAAGGAGACCUGCACUGAGAGGACUUUUUUCCAAUUAGUAUUUCUUACUCAGCCUGCCAAACUUUCAUGAAAAAAUACAAAGAACGAGACUCCUGAGGGAAUAGUAGGCUGCGAGCGUUGGUGGAGGAGAACUCUACAGCACGACACGCCCCUUCCAAGGUCUCAUAGUAAGCCACAGCAUCGGUUAACUUUGCCUCUUUUCCAAACCCAAGCUCUGGCCUGUACUGUAUAACUCCUUCGAAGCAGUUGGUAAGACUACUAUUCCCGAGAGAGAUCUGGAGUCAAGGAGAAGAUUCCCCAACUGAAGACUAGAAGAGACAGAACUGUACAGUGUCCACUCCGGGCUGUCUGCAUUUCCUUUAAAAGUUAACUCCUUGAUCACACAUAACUGGUAGCACUUGGCCUUGAGGAGCGUGCUUGCUCUCUGAUGCAGUGUGUGUGUUUGCCCACUGCGCACAGAGUUUGGUUGCACGUAAUUUUUCUACUCCUGUGUAGACUAUGUAGUUUCAUGGUGGCCACUGAAAUUCAUGAAGAAAUCUCUCAUUUAAACAAUUGAAGGAACCAUAAAUCAAUACCCAGAAAAAUUCUUUCAUUGUGGGAUUUCUUUUCUACUUGGUUAAAGCUGAGUCGCUUUAGUCUCUGCUGCUUCAUUGUGUACCCUUGACUAGCUGGCCCUUAAAGACCUAUAUGAGUCUCCUGUCUCUUUAUCAACUUUAUUGCUGUAGAAAUAUUGAGAUUCCAGCUGCACACCAAUACAUCUGGUUUUAUAUUUUUAAACAUGGGUUCCUGAGAUUGAACGUGGGUUGCCAAGAUGUGUGCUUAUCCAUGGAACCAUUUCUCUGCCCCCAGAUUGUUCUAUUUAAAGAGGUAAAUAAGGACCUGGACAGGUCACUCAGUCCCUAGGGAUACUAGCUGCUGUUCCAGAGGACCUGGGGUGGAUUCCCAGCACCCACGAUGGCAGCUCACAACAACUCCAGUUCCAAGGAUUCCAAUACCCUCUUCUGGCCUCCUCAGAAUAUACACAGAUAUACAUUCAGGUGAAACACUCAGACACAUAAAAUAAUAAUACAAUGAAAGGCAAGUUGAAUGUCCUUUUAACUUAACUACAAUAGCUUAACUACAGUGCCAUACACAGCGAGAUGCACAGAAUGCUACACAGUGUGAUUGAUAUACACACACAGUAUGAUUGAUACACACACAGUGUGAUUGAUGUACACACAGUGUGAUGCACAACCAGUGUGAUUGAUACACAGUGUGAUACACACAACGUGAUACACACACAGUGUGAUUGAUACACACAGUGUGAGUGAUACACACAGUGUGAUACACACACAGAGUGAUUGAUAUAUACAGUGUGAUACACACACAGUGUGAUUGAUACACUCAGUGUGAUACACACAGUGUGAUACACACACAGUGUUACACACACACAAUGUUAUGCACACACAGUAAAACGCACACACAAUGUGAUUUAUCCACAGUGUGAUGCACACAAAGUGUGAUUAAUACAUAGUGUGAUACACACAGUGUGAUUGAUACACAGUGUGAUACACACACAGUGUAAUUGAUACACAGUGUGAUGCACACACAGUGUGAUUGAUACACAAUGUGAUACACAGCAUAAUACAACAAUACUCCGAGAUAGCUUAGUUUGCUUAGGGUCUAGUGCUAAGCAAGAUAUGUAUCUCAGAUGGAAGUAAAAGUACCAACUAAAGAGAUGGAAAAGGGAGUCAUUUUGGAUUAUGAUGUCAUGCUUUCAGGUGCCAUCCUGGAAAAAGUGCUUACCCAUAUAGCUUCCUGCCUUGUCAAGUGGGGAUACCGCUCUGUUGUGGUCCUAGUCUUAAUAGGAAUAGAUGUGAAAUUUCCUAGGAGAGGAUACAAAGGGCUGUCCAUAUCAAUAUAGAAUGCUAUUCUUGAAAUUUGUUUUCCAGUCAUUUUUAUUGUUGUACAUAUCUAUAAAUCUAUAUAUAUAUUAGCAUAUAUAUAAAAUCUAUCUAUCUAUCAUCUAUAUAUUAUCUGUCUAUGUAUCUACCACCUAUUUUCAUAUAUCAUUGAUUUUUCUAUCAUGUACUUAUCCACUGAUCUAUCAAGCAGCAAUGACACUUAUCCAACAUGAUACCACAUAUUAUUUUUUUAGUACUCAACUCUCCCUCUUCUGUGAACUAAUGCUAAGAAAUAAAUAACCUCAUCAACAUGUAAGUAUAACACCUGAAGUGAUUAGCCAGAUGUGGUGACGCACGCCUUUAAUCCUAGCACUUUGCAGGCAGAGGAAGACUGGUAUCUGCCUUCUUGGCCAGCUUGGUCUACAGAGUGAGUUACAGGAGAGCCAGGGCUACACAGAGAAACCCUAUAUUAAAGAAGAAAACAACCUCCUUCCCAGAAUAGAACUGAGGUGAUAAAAAAGAGAAAAGGAGUGGUCGAAACGGGAAGAUGCAUGAGAGUGAACACCCAUCCACUAUCUGCUAUUGGCCCAUUCUGGGCUUCAAGUUGGGCUGAAUAGUAACUGACCAGUGCAUGUAUGAACACUGGGAGCCAGCUCAUUGCUCACACUGAAAUCUGGAUCCUCUCAUGUCACUUUGCUUAUUUUCCUGACUCCAAGUCACGCCACAAUUCCACCUCACAAAAAGACAAACACAUUUUCCUUUCAGUUUUCUAGUCCCUUUAAUUUUACCCAGACUUUCUUGCUGUGUCCUUUUGUGCUGGGUUUAGCUUAUGUAAUAAUUUUGCCUGGGCAGCUUCUACGAAAAGCUCAGCAAUCACAGAGCUGUUUGUUUGGUUCCCUCUGACAAUCACAGAAGCCAGGAUGAGAUGUAUUAAAAAUGCAGGCAUAAAACAAAGCAAUACCAAAGCAGCAAAUUGCUGCAGGACACAAGGGUGCUCUGGGGUAUGCAUCAUUCCCACCCAAGGUUCCUAGACAUUCUGCUGUGGCAUCAUGCUGUAUCGACUCCCCUCCCCCACUAUCUGCCUCGGCUCAGGAUGAAACAAGUCUUGGUUCAGAAUAGAGAAACGUGUCUUGCAAAAAUACUCAAUUCUCUUCAAAGUGGUUUGAAGUUUUGAUCUUUCUCAGUCAGUAGUUUUCCUUACCCCAGUGACCAGUUUAGAAAAAUUUCCUGUCAGCAAACAUUUAACAAAUGUGAUUAAAUAUGGCAGACUCAAAACCUAGCUACCAUCUCAGCCAUAUUCUGGAUCAUGUUUUAAAAAUUUAUUAACAAUUUUAUUUGCUUCAGAAUUACUUAAAAUAUGUAUAAAGAUAUGUAAGUAUUAGGUUGUUGAUUUGAUUAAGAGUGCAGAAAGUUCAAAUACACACACACACACACACACACACACACAAACAUUGAUCUAAUAGGCCUCCAGAGAAUUAAAUAAAUAGGCCUCAAGAGAAUUAAAAUGUAUGUAUGUAUGUAUGCAUGUAUGUAUUGUCUGUGUCUGUCUGUCUGUCUGUCUGUCUGUGUCAUGGCAUAAAUCUAGAGGUAUUAAAGCAACUUGGGGCAUUGGCUGUCACCUUCUACCUCCUUGAGUCAGGGUCUCUCUUGCUUCUGCCGCCCUGCUGUAGACUGCAGACUAGCUGGCCUGGUGAUCAUCCUGUGUCAACCUCAUGUCACGGAUGCACUCCAACACAGGUGGCUCUUUCUUCUUUUAUGUUAGUUUCAGGGAUUGAGUGUACAGUAUUGGGCUUAUUUCUAUAUGACCCCAGAUGAAUUUUCUUCCCUCAUAUAUUUUUUCACUGCUUGAUUUUGCAACUUUUUUGCUUAGAAUAUUUUACUCUAAAUUGAAAAAGAAAAAGAAAAAAAAAAAAAACACCAAGCUCCAUCAGCUAUUUCAGAGGCCUGAGGAGAAAAAUGAAGGAUGGUGUAAAUCAAGCAGACCCACCUUUCUGACUUGUGAUGUGGUCAGGGAAUCUGGACACUAUCAAGGCAUUGCAGCCCAUACCCCAAAGUGACUUUGUUAUAGGAAAGGAGUUUAAUUUUUUUCCCUUUGUAACCUUGUGAAAUUUCCACAUUAAAAAGCAAUCACAUCUUUCAAGCUAGAAAUGAUUGUGUUUGGCACGGCAGAGCCUCUGGUGUAAUGGCUUGUGCUUGUUUUCACUGAAGCAAAAUCAGCUUUCAAAAUAAAUCAUCUGUAACAACAUUCUACUCCCCAAAUCAUAUAAUCCUAUUAACGGAGUUUCAAUUUUUCCCCAUCGUCACUGGUCUGACAAGAUCGACUGAACUUGAGUGUGGAGAUAGAGGCAGGACAGGAUUUGGCUGUGGUAAGGAGAGCUACUUAGCUGUGGACGUGUGAGAGCUCCCUGCACCUCACAAAUUCACACCUGUGUUUCAUCUUACCUCAUGUGCUUUGUCGGGAACUGUUAUGCAGUCGCUCACCAACUCAAGCUACUCAAGAAAUAGCCCAUGCCGGGACAUAGGCAGUCGGGUAGGUUACUGUGCAUGUCACAGUGAGUAAGGCCUCAGUCAAGACCAAACACACAGUUCCACUGACUGAAAAUGGGUCUCACCUGGCUGCAUGGUAGCUUUUCCCAAAGUAGAAAUUAUAUGGCAAAACCUACAAAAGCAUUUUCUUGUCAAUUUGGAAUUCUUGGGAGAGCAUGCCUAGUGUGUGUGUGUGUGUGUGUGUGUGUGUGUGUGUGUGUGUGUGUGUGUGUGAUGAAAAGAAGAAAAAGAACUAUCUUGCAGCCACAAAUAGUAUGUUUUACUUUUGCCAGCAGAGAGUUUCUAGAAAAUAUUAAGCCAGUUUCCAGCCAAUAUGUCCUGUCCAGCUUCACCUCUGUUCCUUGGAAAUGUUCUGAGACAUGGUUGAACUUGGGUUUAUCAGUCAAGCAACUCGUUAACAGUUCAUGAGUAUAAUGGCCGUAUCAAAGUGGUCAGCCAAAGCAGUUGCGGUACAUUUAUAAUCCUCCAUGUUAAGCGACAAGUGCCAAGUGUUGUGAGGCAGCGCCACGUUCUGUGGUGGACAAGCUGUUCUCUUUGGGAAGAAAUGUCGUCUUCGCAUUGGAGAUAGCCCUGUCCAUGAGCCAGCAUAUUCUGGCAUCCCACUGAUGUCUAGGCUGAAGGGCAAAUCUGUUCAUCAAAGUCAAGGCAAAGUUAGCAUCAGCCUUUUCCUCAGUCUGAGCUUACAGGCCCCCUCACUUUUCAGCUGCUCUUACUCAAUUAGAAAGUAACUCUCACUGUAGAGUUGAACCCGGUAUUUGAAUUCUAUCUCUGCCACGUACUAGACUAAUAUGUUUGAUCAAGGUAUUCAACCUCAUUAAGAUGUAAUUUAUCAAUCUACUGACAAAGUAUGAUAAGCUUACCGAAUUUAGGCCAGCAAGGUCAGCGGGCAGACACUUGCUGUCAAGCCUGUGGAUUUUGAUUCCUGGACCCACUUUGUGGAAAGUGAGAACAAGUUCUAUAAAGUUGUCCUCUAACCUUCUCAAGGCAAAAGAGUGCCCAUCUGCAUCUAAAUAAGCAAAUAAAUGUAGAAAGAUUUCCUGCCUUAAAGGAUUACUGAUAUGAUCAGAUAUUAAUUUUAAAUUAUAAAAUGUUGCUGCUAUUUUUCCCUUGGAAUAACCACGAGACCACUAUGCAUUAAAUGAAUUCUACAUAAAUGAGCUGUAACAAAUGGAAAUAAUUUCAUAAUCUCAAGCUUCUGAAAGCAUUUCUCUUAAAUGCUUAUUGUAACAGCGGGGUAGUUAGAGGGUCCUAUGUGGUUAGCAUUUGCUCCCUUGGAAACCCGAGACAUAAAGUAGUCCUGUGUGCUUCAUGUUCUGUUGCAGAGGAAAGAGCAGUGAUAGCUCCUCGAUUUCCAAGUCCACAGAAAAGCAGCAGCAUCCCCGGGCAGUGAUUUUGGUGUCUGAAGCAAGUUUAGAUAAACUGGCAGCUAUCACAGCUCUUGGAAGAAUUAUAACGAGCAUCUAUAACGUCUUGUUUAAAAUUUUGUGGCCAUUAUUUCAAUCUUGUGGAAAGCCCGACUUUCAUUAGAGAAAGCGCAUUGCUCUUUCUAGAAAAGCUUUGGAAGUUAUGGCGAUUGCUUGAAGACUCCCCUGCGUAUGUCAGACAUCCACUCACCAGGAACAAGUCAUACAAAAUGUGCAGAUUUUAAUUAUUGUUUUAAGAAAAUUAAGUGUUGCUUUUCUAGGACAUCAUAUUUAUGAAUCUAAUUUUAUUGCACUAAUGCACAAUUACAUGUAAAGUGAUGGCUACAACAUGCCUUCUACAACCAUUUAUAAACACAGUCUCACUUCUGCUCUUACCCAAAGAUAGAGAAGUAUUCAUCUGUACUGUCAUGCUGUCUAGGUUCUAAGACAUUCAAAAAUUUUAAAACUGGUUUUGUUUAGUUGAAGAUGUGAGCAACCAAAUGCGUACCUUUCUGUAACAAUGGUUAAAUUUUACAUUAAACUUGUUAAAUUUUGAUAAAUUAUUUCCUAUGACAAAUUAGGUCAUUUUGGGUCCUCAAUAAUUGUAUAUUUUUCAUCUCCAAUAGAGCUAGGCAUGAAAUUAAUUCAUACAAAUCAUCGGUGUAUCAGUUUGGUCACUUAUACUUUCAAACAACAUUGUGUAUUAUUGACAUCAAUAACGUUUAUCAGGAAAUAUGUAUAUGCCACAAAAGCUAUGAUUGUAAAUCUACAACUCGCUAUUUAAAAAGUAAGUUUAUAGAGUUAUACUGCCAACUGCAAUAUGGGCAGGUUGAACAAUUAUUGACCCUAAUAUUUAAAUGAUUUGGAAAGAGACUCAGGGAUGUGCAGCUAAAAUGAGUGUAAGUCAAACAAGUUCACUGUUUACAAGUUGUAAACUAACACAUAUCUCUCUCACACACACACACACACACACACACACACACACACACACACACAGAGUGAUGAAGUCAUUUGUGCACAAGUCUGUCUUCAGGGCAGUACCUGAUCUCUUUGGCUGGGGGCAGAAAGGGGAAUCUGGCAGAAGCAAACGCAUUAGCAGCACUUUUAUUUUUUUUAAUGUAUUCACUUUACGUUGCUGCUCCUUCUCCUGGCCUGCCCCUCACACAGUCCCGCACACAGUCCCUCACACUUCUCCCAUCUUCCUUCCCUUCCCCUUUAAGAGAGUGGAGCCCCCCCCCCCUUAGUCCUCCCACCCUGGCAUGUCAAGUCUCUGCAGGGCCAGGCACAUCCUCUCUUACUGAAGCCAGAGAAAGCAGUCCAAUUAGAAAACUGCACUCCACAGUCAGGCGGGGAGUGGGGGGUGGGCAGCCUUCCAACUAGUUGUUGUGUGUGGGGGUGCCCACAUGAAGACCAAUCUGCACAUUUGCUACAUAUGAGUGGUGGACCUAGGUCCAUCCUGUAUAUACUCUUUGGUUGGUAGUCAGUCUCUGGGUGCCCCAAGGGUCCAGGUUACGUGACUCUGUUGGUGUUCCUGUGGAGAUCCUAUUCCCUUUGGGUCGCUCAAUCCUUCCCCCAGCUGCACAUUUCUUAUAGUAACAACAUUUGAGAAUGUCACCUCAGUGUAUGGUAGAGCCAGUACUGAGUGUCUCCAAACAGUGUUUAAGUAAAUAAAAAAGGGCUGCCAGCAAAAAUCUUGUGUCUCAGGCAUUUUUUUAAAGGGUGUGUCAGGAAGGGGGCUCUGUUUUUAGUCUGGUUAAAAAAAAGAACAAAUAUUCCUCGAGCCACUAAAUCAUUCCGUCCUCUUUAGAAGAUUAUAUCUGGAUACCUUCAGACAAAAGACAGAACCUAAACUCAGAGUUUAUGGAGUUAAUUCAACUUUGAGCUGGAGUGAGCGAGGAUCUUAUUCCAUUAACCUUGGGCAGACAACUGUGCUUGUAUCAUGGUCUGGAAUCUUGCCCCUAAAACCCACAAUUGCUGGAUAUUACAUGAUCACUGCCUGCUAACAAUCACUCCCAUGUGGUGGGAUUACAUUCUUUUCCUACUCAUAAUAGUGUGACAGUUUCCCUAGGGCACAGGUGCCAUCCAAAGAAAGUCAUGUCUUCCAGAGGAAGGCCCUUUUUGGUUCUUUUCAGAGUUUUUCCAAGUGGCCAUGACUUACUUUAUUGUCUUUGUAUACCCACUAAUGUUUUCUGUCCUGAGCAGGGAUAUCUAAAAGAAACCAGAGUGGAGAUAAGACUUUUAAUACAUCCUGGGUAUGGUCAGGCUCAAGGCAAAAAUAAAGAUGAUGUAAUAAACAUUUCAUUCAUGAGAAGGAUGUUUUGAUCAAGAUCUCAUUCUGUCUCUGUCUCAAUGAUGCUGAUGAUAAUGAUGAUGACGGCAAUGACAAUGAGGGUGACAACAGGGAUUAAACUUAACACCUUUCCUAUACAAGCUGCUUCCUAAACUGUUAAUUUGAUCCCCUAGAUGGCAUCCUCUUAAUUUGGCCACCUAAAAUCCUCAAAUCACAAAAACAGGAUGACAGUGAUUUGCUGCUGAUCUGAACACUGGCGAGUUGAGGUGAGCUAACGAGUCUUUGGGUCUCUGACUAUAUUUGUAGCACAUAGACUGUCUUAGUUUGGGUUUUACUGCUGUGAACAGACACCACGACCAAGGCGACUCUUAUAAAAACAUUUAAUUGGGGUUAGCUUAAAGGGUCAGAGGUUCAGUCCAUUAUUAUCAGGGCAGGAGCAUGGCAAUGACCAGGCAGGCAUGGUGCAGGAGAAGCUGAGAGUUCUACAUCUUCAUCCAAAGGCAACAGGAAAAGAUUAGCUUGCAGGAAGCUAGGAAGAGGGUCUUACAGCUCACACCCACAGUGGCACACCUACUCUAAGGCUACACUGCCAAAUAGUGCCACUCUCUGAGACAAAGAUAUUCAAACCACUACAUUUACUAACACAGACCACUUCUGAAUUAUUAUUGUGUAUGUCUCUGUGACACAGUGACUACCAUGAAAUGCACUAUUAUGCAUUUGCAUGUGGCACAGAAGUGCAUUUGAUAUAACAUAUUACUCAGUUAUGGACAUUUGCUUCUGUGGCUCUGUUUUGUUUCCUUAUUAAGCUGAGGCAUCGUGUGAGUAGGACUAAUGCACACUCCAGCCUCUAGCCCAGAGAUUAUGUGAACAGAUAGUAGACAUUAAGGAUUUAUGUGGAAAGCCAUGAUGCUAACUGUAGCCAACAUUCUAGAGUUGUGGAUCCCCUAUGUCAAUACCAUUAGAUGGAAAAGGAUUAAUCUUCCAACUUUGGCUAACUCAAGCCACCAGAUACAAGUUUCGUAGGUUUCUCUUCCUUUGGGGAACCUGUAUCAACAUUAUAGUAAGAUCUAUAAUUACAGAUGUUGAUGUAAGAUCAAACUGACUAAAUUUUGUAAAAACUACAUUGCUUUUAAAAGUCAGUAGAGAGAGCUAGGAACCCCAUUAGGGAAUUUCCUUUUAAAAGAAUCUUGCAGAUAUUUUAGAAGAUUUACUUUUGUGGUCAUUACAGACCAGCACCCCGAGAAGUCCUAUGUCACCAUACCUAAUAUCUGUAAAUGAUAUAAAAACAUGUAUGUCCAGGUAACAUUAAGCUAAAAGAUUUAUACUUCUGUUAAAAGGAACAAUAUUGAGUAUUUACUGACUCUUAGUAUUAAGAUAUCCCUUAAAGAGGUUUUAAAUCUCAUUUUGCACGUAUAGUACACUGAAUGAAGCUAUUUAUUGUUAUGGGUGUUCAUCACUGGAGUGGCUUGGGAUUCUUGGAGUCCAGAUAAUUAUAUACAACACUAACUCUACUGGAUUUGGGUUUAACAUGUCUAUUAAAAACUUCAUUGCAUGUAUCCUACCAUACAGCUAUGAUUUUGAACCCAAACGGCUCAGAGUGUCAUGUCAGGUAGCUUUUUGUUAAUCUUUAUAUUUCAAUAUAGUCAUAACAUUGUGAUAUUAAUUAUAGAUAGUAAGAGAAAAUAGCAAAGAGAAGCUAGAUUGUUCAUUAUAGGUCAACCAUUAUAAUCAUUCCUAGCAUGUACUAAGUCCAUAUCAGGAUGUAAAAGAAAAAAGAAAGGAGUAUUUACGUAUUUAAAGUUCAUGUACUCUUUAGUAUUACGGCUUAUAUUAGGUAGGAUAACAAACACUGGGUGUUUUAGUUGGUGCGAUGCUGGUUAUUGUCACAAAUGGAUAGUGAAACACAGGGGUGAUUACAUGCAACAGAAAUGUUCGUCUUUUCUGUAAAAUAUCCCAAGUUACUUACCGAGUGGAGAUAUGUGAAUGGACCCAGUCACUCAGGGGCAUAGACCUGUGACGUUCUGUACAAUUCAGCAUUCAUCAUUGUCAGUGUGAUUAUCUCUGGAAAUGGGAAGGAAAUCUAGUAGUCUUGAAAGUUUGGGAGAUGGGCUGGUGAGAUGGCUCAGCGGGUAAGAGCACCCGACUGCUCUUCCGAAGGUCCAGAGUUCAAAUCCCAGCAACCACAUGGUGGCUCACAACCACCUUUAACAAGAUCUGACUCCCUCUUCUGGUGUGUCUGAAGACAGCUACAGUGUACUUACAUAUAAUAAUAAAUAAAUUUAAAAAAAAAAAAAAAAAAGAAAGUUUGGGAGAUUUAUGUGCAGGGCCUUGAAUGAGACCCACCACUUAUGUUCUCUACCCAAGUAACUAGACAUUAGGUUCAGUACACUGUGAGCAUACAGAGCAAGGCUCAGAAGUUAUAUUCCCACCGAGCAGUCUGCUUUGCCACAACAGUGAACCGCCUGAAGGAAAGCACACAUUGUUGGAAACAGACAGUUGUCACUGUCAUAUGCUUAGGAAAGUUUUUCUUAUUGCAUGCUUUCACCAGUCUUGUCCUCUGUUACUGGAGUCACCAAGGUGAUGAUUUGAUGUCAGCGUGGCCUUUGCUGUGAUGAAUAGCAGCAGCACACUCCGUGUCAUGUCUUGCAUAUGUUUGCUCCUGAACCAAUUUCAGCUACUUGAGUCUGAGUUUUCUCAGCUUUAGCCUGUGCUAAUUUGGUGACUGCUCUAUGUAACUAUGAUUCAAGCCCAGCCUAGUGACUGGUAUUCCGAAGACUUCAUCUUCUAUUCCCUAGUGCUUUGUUUGCCUAGCUAUCUGAUGCUGUGGAUCCUGUGUUAUUUGUUGAAACUUCUUAACAAACAUCUGCCUCGUAAGAAAAAAGGAAAGUAAAUAAAUACACUACUUUUUUUUUAGAGGUUUUUUUGUUUGUUUGUUUUAAUUGUUUAUUGCUGAAUGGUCUUUUGGGACCUUGGAAAGAAUUCUCUCUCUCUCUUUUUUUAAUGACUAUUUCCUAGAUCUAUUUCAUCCCUUUCUUCUAACAUAUCUUCUGAAGGCAAAGAGAUCUCUUGUAUGUACCUAGAGAUUCUGCUUUGAGUAUAACCAAAAGCCAAAAGGGGGCUUUGACAGAAUGCCGGUCAGUUAGGUAAGUGCAUCGUGAGGAAAGGAUGGACCAGUUUCAGCUGUAAAUGGCCACAACUAACAUAUAAUUAACAUCUAGUACUUGCUAGCUGUGAUGCUUAAUGUUAUCUAUCAAUUUUCCUGAACCCUGCUAAGAUUAAGACAUUAUUGUUGGAUGUUUCUAACGCUCUUCCUAAAUGAGGUUAGCAUGAGGGUCUCAGUAAGAUGGGCUGACCUCCUCAGUGCAGGCAGACACCAUCCCACAUACUGAACAGAACCAAGAGUGAAGUGGAAGGAAUUUACCUCUGUUUUUCUGCCUUGCUUCCUGAGCUGGGACAGCUUGUACCUGGGCUUUCAAUCAAUAACUAGAUACCUGAGGUUUCAAGCAUUCAGGUCUUGACUGAAUUAAUUAUGAGCUCCUGCUUUCCUGGGUGUCCAGCUCCUGCAGACAGCCAAGCCUUCAUAAUCCCAGGAGAUUUUUCACAGUACGCCUGAAAUGAGUAAUGUUUAUACAAAGUUCAAGACUUCCACAAGCAACUCUGCCCUCCUGAGUGUGACAGCUUGCUCCUGGCAUUGAGAAACACAGGCCUGAUGUUCCACAUCGUGUUAGAGGCUCAGCAUCUGGGCAGAAAGAUCCAUCUAUAAGGACUUUUGGAAGAAGAGUCUUGCUAUUUAGAGAUCUGCAUAUGAUGGAUUUCCACACAAGAUCUCCAUGACAAAUCUCAACAAAUAUUGGCCUGUGUUGUUGAUGGAAUUGCACCACCUCCCAAUUCAUGUAUUGCUGUCCUACCCCUCCCGCCUGAUCACGUGAUUGUACCUGGAGCAAGGGCCUUUAAAGAGCUAACAACGUUGAAAAUCAGCUCACCAGGGUGGGUCCUAAGCCAAUAUGAUUAUGAAUGGGAACUUUGAACACAGAAUAUACAGAGGAAAGACUCUGUGAAGACUCAAAGUAAAAACAGCAACCUAUGAGCAAAGGAAUGAAGACUCAGAAAAUCAAUACUUUGAUUGGAGGAAUUAUGCCUAAAAGUUUUGAGAAUUGUGAGAACAUUUCUGUUAUUUCAGCCUCCCAAUUCGUACACUUGCUCAUUGAUGCUGGGCUUAUGAGUUAACACAACUAGGCAUGAAAAGAAUCAUGGACUGGGUUAUAGCUCAGUGGUAGAGUACUUACCUAGCAUGUACAAGGACCUGGGUUCGAUACUCUGUAACAACAGAAUAUUAAGAUUGGCUUAAAACUGUGUCAUGGCCAAUCUUCAUUGUCAUCUUGACAGGAUUUGGAAGCACUCCAAGGACACAACUUCGGUAUGGUAUGUCUGCAAAUGUGUUUCUAGAGAAGCUUAGGGGAGGGAGAGGGCUUACUCACCUUGACUCUGAGUGGACCAUUCCAUGGGCUAUAGUUUUAUAUUGAGUAAAAGGGGGGGAAAAGAAACCAAGAACACCAAUAUUUAUUUCUUACAGAUUCUUCACCUCAGACAAAAUGUGACCCACUUUAUGACUCCCCUGUUGCCUCCCAUGAUCGACUUAAUCCUGAAAGUUUUAGCCAAGACAACCCCUCCUUAUUUUCUUUUUGUCAUUUAUUUAAUCAUACCAAUAGAAAAAUAAUUACAUAAGGGUGAAUUAAAUUUUAGCCCAGGUUCCACAUCAGGCACCUUAAUCUGGCGUUUUCAAUGGUAUAGGUUAACUUUUGUCUUGUUUGUUUGUUUCUAAGGAUUGCUUUUCUAAUUGUCAAAUGAAUUUUGUUUCUUUUGUUGAUAUUCAUUUAGCAGCUGGGGCUCCAAUGCUCCAAACUCAGAUAAAACUUCUUUUCAAAUUCCGUUAGUAACCUGUUAUAUUUGUGCUGCAUAAUGGCUGUGUAGAGAUCCAAAAAUUGCCUCUGCUCCCAACCUCAUGCAUCUCAAAUAGAGAACAAGGGUGUCAAUUUAUCCUGGCUAUUUCAAUCUCUGAUUCCAAUGCAAAUUACUAUCCUACUGGUUCAAGCUCUUGUCUUCUUGCCUUGGCUAUUCUAAAGACUUCUAAUUAAUAUUCCAUAAUCUCUGUCUCUUAAUUCAUACAGAGUGUACCCUGAUUAUUGCCUCAAAAUGUCUAAUUAUAUAACUUUCAUCUUUGGUGAUUUCAUUAUUUAAAUAAUAAAGGUCUAAUUGUUUAACAAGAUGUUCAAGGCCCUUCAUAAUCUAAACUAAUUUACUAGCUCUACAUCUUUACAAACACUUCUGUCUUACCUCCAAUCCUUUCAACCAAUAUAUAUUUCCUAUAACAGAAAACAUAUUUUGAUCCUGUAAUGAUAUAUUAAUUUUCAUCUAUAAUGUUCUUUAUUCUUGUUUUGUUAUUGAAACUAUGUAUAUCUUUUUUUUUUCCAUUUUUUAUUAGGUAUUUAGCUCAUUUACAUUUCCAAUGCUAUACCAAAA